RNAcentral lists this ribosomal RNA (431 nucleotides) under uncultured bacterium. RNAcentral describes it as "partial 16S ribosomal RNA". It matches the Rfam family "Bacterial small subunit ribosomal RNA", at positions 29 to 505 of the family's 1533-position model. The record is from RNAcentral.
AACGAACGCUGGCGGCAUGCCUAACACAUGCAAGUCGAACGAGACCUUCGGGUCUAGUGGCGCACGGGUGCGUAACGCGUGGGAACCUGCCCUUAGGUUCGGAAUAACUCCCCGAAAGGGGUGCUAAUACCGGAUAAUGUCUUCGGACCAAAGAUUUAUCGCCUUUGGAUGGGCCCGCGUUGGAUUAGCUAGUUGGUAGGGUAAAAGCCUACCAAGGCGACGAUCCAUAGCUGGUCUGAGAGGAUGAUCAGCCACACUGGGACUGAGACACGGCCCAGACUCCUACGGGAGGCAGCAGUGGGGAAUAGUGGACAAUGGGCGAAAGCCUGAUCCAGCAAUGCCGCGUGAGUGAUGAAGGCCUUAGGGUUGUAAAGCUCUUUUACCCGGGAUGAUAAUGACAGUACCAGGAGAAUAAGCUCCGGCUAACUCCG